GAGGGUAGAGCUCAGUGGUAGAGCACAUCCUUAGCAUGCACGAGGUCCUGGGUUCAAUCCCCAGCACCUCCA
RNAcentral lists this transfer RNA (72 nucleotides) under Camelus bactrianus (Bactrian camel). It matches the Rfam family "tRNA". Rfam says of the family: Transfer RNA (tRNA) molecules are approximately 80 nucleotides in length. Their secondary structure includes four short double-helical elements and three loops (D, anti-codon, and T loops). Further hydrogen bonds mediate the characteristic L-shaped molecular structure. tRNAs have two regions of fundamental functional importance: the anti-codon, which is responsible for specific mRNA codon recognition, and the 3' end, to which the tRNAs corresponding amino acid is attached (by aminoacyl-tRNA synthetases). tRNAs cope with the degeneracy of the genetic code in two manners: having more than one tRNA (with a specific anti-codon) for a particular amino acid; and 'wobble' base-pairing, i.e. permitting non-standard base-pairing at the 3rd anti-codon position. The record is from Rfam by way of RNAcentral. Lineage: Eukaryota; Metazoa; Chordata; Mammalia; Artiodactyla; Camelidae. RNAcentral also lists the same sequence under 2 other names.